GAUGAACGCUGGCGGCGUGCCUAAUACAUGCAAGUCGAGCGAAUGGAUUAAGAGCUUGCUCUUAUGAAGUUAGCGGCGGACGGGUGAGUAACACGUGGGUAACCUGCCCAUAAGACUGGGAUAACUCCGGGAAACCGGGGCUAAUACCGGAUAACAUUUUGAACCGCAUGGUUCGAAAUUGAAAGGCGGAUUCGGCUGUCACUUAUGGAUGGACCGGCGUCGCAUUAGCUAGUUGGUGAGGUAACGGCUCACCAAGGCAACGAUGCGUAGCCGACCUGAGAGGGUGAUCGGCCACACUGGGACUGAGACACGGCCCAGACUCCUACGGGAGGCAGCAGUAGGGAAUCUUCCGCAAUGGACGAAAGUCUGACGGAGCAACGCCGCGUGAGUGAUGAAGGCUUUCGGGUCGUAAAACUCUGUUGUUAGGGAAGAACAAGUGCUAGUUGAAUAAGCUGGCACCUUGACGGUACCUAACCAGAAAGCCACGGCUAACUACGUGCCAGCAGCCGCUGUAA
Molecule: ribosomal RNA, 515 nt
Filed under: uncultured bacterium
Lineage: Bacteria
Description: partial 16S ribosomal RNA
Rfam family: Bacterial small subunit ribosomal RNA
Source: RNAcentral